UUUGGUUUUAAUGUAAUUUUAAAUUAACAUUUUUAAUUUACUAAUUUAUUUAACAGUUCCAUUAUGAUGCUAAAUAAUUUAUGAAAAAAUAACAUUGGUAAAUUUACAAGCAGAGACAAACGCCCAUUACAAUCUAAAGCAGAAUUGUACUUUCAGACAAACGUUUAUGGGGGGAAAAACUAUUUUGAAGUAAUAGAAAAAUGUGCAAAUAUAACAAGUACUGCUUAACAAUGAGAAUACAAUACACAUUGAGUAUGGUGAAGAUAGAAUCUAGAAGCAAUGCUUUUCAUCACAAUGCGUUGAAUAAGGAGAAAAUAGAAGAUAAUUAGUAUACCUGUAAGUAAGUAAAAUAUCAAGACAAGAAUAGAGACGAAGUGGUUGAUAAGAAGCAAGAAGUCAUAAGUCAAGUGGGCCUGCAGAGAAGGGAAGGUGGUGUUAAAGGGAAGUGCUCCAGCAUCAAUUUAAAUUUGUAUGGAAGAGUUGAAUUAGGAGGUAGUAAAAAGCCUAGUUAGUGACCUUAGUGCUCGGAAUCAGGGAAUAUUGGGAGACUUAUAACGUCAGAUAUGUUGAGCUGUGAGGGACAAGUGAUGGACUGGCUUAGGAAGGUACGGGGCAGGCUUCCGUGAAGAGGAGUGCUUUUAGAAGUUUGUGGUAAAAUGACAGAGAGAAGGAAGGUUGGAUAUGAGGACGGAGCUUCUUCCGGUGGUAGGGAGCUAACAGGAAAAAUCAAAGAAUUGUAAGGAAGCGCAUGGGUGUGAGGAUUGGGUAAGAGAGGUGGAGUUAAGGGAGAGGAGAUAAGUGAAGAGAGGUAGGGAGGAGCAAGGUCAUGAAUGGAUCUGAAUACGAAAGUAUCUAUAUGGCGGGGGAAGAGAACUACUAUAGAUAGAUAACAACUGUAGUGCUAGGAAUAAAAUUUAAGCAUUAUGAUGUUCCGAGUUAAAUUUUAAAACAAUGUCUACAAAACACAAAUAGCAUGAAAUGUAUGACAUUGAUUUUUUGAACCAAAUUUUUUUAAUGUGUACCAAACAUGAUUUAGUUUAAAUUUGGUUCAACCUAAAGGAACACUCCAAGCACCAUAAUCACUACAGAACACUGAAGUUGUCAGGCUGUAGUGUGGCCGAGCUCCUCUUCCUCCUGGCUGUCAGGCCGGACUGACAGGAAGUGCACACUAAGAAGGACACAGGGGGGGAGGGGAGUAAGGACACAGGGAAGGGAGGGGAAUAAGAAGGACAUAGUGAGGGGGAGUAAGAAGGACACAGUGAGGGGGAGGGGGGAGUAAGAAGGACAUGGGGAGGGGAGUAAGAAGGACA
Non-coding RNA from Pelobates cultripes (western spadefoot toad), 1310 nucleotides. The record is from the annotation of a GenBank genome assembly. NCBI's taxonomy places the organism in Eukaryota, Metazoa, Chordata, Amphibia, Anura, Pelobatidae.